Molecule: ribosomal RNA, 209 nt
Filed under: uncultured Acidithiobacillus sp.
Lineage: Bacteria; Pseudomonadati; Pseudomonadota; Acidithiobacillia; Acidithiobacillales; Acidithiobacillaceae
Description: partial 16S ribosomal RNA
Rfam family: Bacterial small subunit ribosomal RNA
Source: RNAcentral
CGCGUAGGCGGUGGGUUACGUCUGCCGUGAAAUCCCCGGGCUCAACCUGGGAAUGGCGGUGGAAACGGGCUGACUAGAGUAUGGGAGAGGGUGAUGGAAUUCCAGGUGUAGCGGUGAAAUGCGUAGAGAUCUGGAGGAACAUCAGUGGCGAAGGCCGGUCACCUGGCCCAAUACUGACGCUGAGGCGCGAAAGCGUGGGGAGCAAACAG